RNAcentral lists this ribosomal RNA (497 nucleotides) under uncultured bacterium. Its description in RNAcentral is "partial 16S ribosomal RNA". It matches the Rfam family "Bacterial small subunit ribosomal RNA", at positions 28 to 507 of the family's 1533-position model. The record is from RNAcentral.
GAUGAACGCUGGCGGCGUGCCUAAUACAUGCAAGUCGAGCGAGCAGACGAGGAGCUUGCUCCUCUGACGUUAGCGGCGGACGGGUGAGUAACACGUGGAUAACCUACCUAUAAGACUGGGAUAACUUCGGGAAACCGGAGCUAAUACCGGAUAAUAUAUUGAACCGCAUGGUUCAAUAGUGAAAGACGGUUUUGCUGUCACUUAUAGAUGGAUCCGCGCCGCAUUAGCUAGUUGGUAAGGUAACGGCUUACCAAGGCGACGAUGCGUAGCCGACCUGAGAGGGUGAUCGGCCACACUGGAACUGAGACACGGUCCAGACUCCUACGGGAGGCAGCAGUAGGGAAUCUUCCGCAAUGGGCGAAAGCCUGACGGAGCAACGCCGCGUGAGUGAUGAAGGACUUCGGAUCGUAAAACUCUGUUAUUAGGGAAGAACAAAUGUGUAAGUAACUAUGCACGUCUUGACGGUACCUAAUCAGAAAGCAACGGCUAACUACGUG